UAAGCUAGUGGCGGACGGGUGCGUAACGUGUGGGUAAUCUGCCUUUGUCAUAGGAAUAACUGCUUGAAAAAGUAGCUAAUACCAAAUAACAUAUCGUAUAGGCAUCUAUAAGAUAUCAAAGAGAAAUCGGACAAAGAUGAGCCCGCAUCUGAUUAGCUGGUUGGUAGGGUAAAAGCCUACCAAGGCGACGAUCAGUAGCCGGCCUGAGAGGGUGAACGGCCACAUUGGAACUGAGACACGGUCCAAACUCCUACGGGAGGCAGCAGUGGGGAAUAUUGCACAAUGGGGGGAACCCUGAUGCAGCAACGCCGCGUGAGUGAAGAAGGCUUUCGAGUCGUAAAACUCUGUUGUAAGGGAAGAUAAUGACGGUACCUUAAAAGAAAGCCCCGGCUAACUACGUGCCAGCAGCCGCGGUAAUACGUAGGGGGCAAGCGUUAUCCGGAAUAACUGGGCGUAAAGGGUGCGCAGGUGGUCUGUCAAGUUAGUGGUGAAAGGCAUAGGCUCAACCAAUGUAAGCCAUUAAAACUGACGGACUUGAGUGCAGGAGAGGAAAGUGGAAUUCCUAGUGUAGCGGUGAAAUGCGUAGAUAUUAGGAGGAAUACCGGUGGCGAAGGCGACUUUCUGGACUGUAACUGACACUGAGGCACGAAAGCGUGGGGAGCAAACAGGAUUAGAUACCCUGGUAGUCCACGCCGUANACGAUGAGUACUAGGUGUCGGGAGGAAUCUCGGUGCCGAAAGUAACACAUUAAGUACUCCGCCUGGGGAGUACGCUCGCAAGAUAAAACUC
This 789-nucleotide ribosomal RNA is filed under the name uncultured bacterium. Its description in RNAcentral is "bacterial SSU rRNA". It matches the Rfam family "Bacterial small subunit ribosomal RNA", at positions 88 to 902 of the family's 1533-position model. The record is from RNAcentral.